GAUGAACGCUGGCGGCGUGCCUAAUACAUGCAAGUCGAGCGAACAGAUGAGGAGCUUGCUCCUCUGACGUUAGCGGCGGACGGGUGAGUAACACGUGGAUAACCUACCUAUAAGACUGGGAUAACUUCGGGAAACCGGAGCUAAUACCGGAUAAUAUAUUGAACCGCAUGGUUCAAUAGUGAAAGACGGUUUUGCUGUCACUUAUAGAUGGAUCCGCGCCGCAUUAGCUAGUUAGUAAGGUAACGGCUUACCAAGGCAACGAUGCGUAGCCGACCUGAGAGGGUGAUCAGCCACACUGGAACUGAGACACGGUCCAGACUCCUACGGGAGGCAGCAGUAGGGAAUCUUCCGCAAUGGGCGAAAGCCUGACGGAGCAACGCCGCGUGAGUGAUGAAGGUCUUCGGAUCGUAAAACUCUGUUAUUAGGGAAGAACAAAUGUGUAAGUAACUAUGCACGUCUUGACGGUACCUAAUCAGAAAGCCACGGCUAACUACGUG
This 497-nucleotide ribosomal RNA is filed under the name uncultured bacterium. RNAcentral's name for it is "partial 16S ribosomal RNA". It matches the Rfam family "Bacterial small subunit ribosomal RNA", at positions 28 to 507 of the family's 1533-position model. The record is from RNAcentral.